Molecule: long non-coding RNA, 378 nt
Organism: Asterias rubens (European starfish)
Lineage: Eukaryota; Metazoa; Echinodermata; Asteroidea; Forcipulatida; Asteriidae
Exons: 2
Source: RefSeq, a predicted model, not a curated record
UUUUACCUCAGUUUAUUGUACCUUCCAUUAAACACAACUUUUCCCCACGUAUUACGUGACAUAAUUUGUUGUAAAUGUAUAAAGGUUUGAUACACCAAUGGAUUGGGAAGAAUGCAUUUCAAGAUUUGAAAAAAAAAAUCGUUCUUCGUGCAUCCAAAACCCACGUCACAUGUGAACGUAACGUGCUCAACAGGAGAUUGUUUGCAGUCCAAUAUUGUGUGCGAAACAACAGUUUAAUCACAUUUUGAGUAGACGGACUCUAAAAUUAUUGAAAAGAAGGUGUACUUGAACUUUGAUUUAUUGGUGAUCAUAUACCCGUGGUUCUAUAGAGAAAGCAGAAAUUAACCCCAAUCAAUUAUACAUAUUGGGCUGGUAACA